Molecule: small nucleolar RNA, 136 nt
Organism: Rattus norvegicus (Norway rat)
Lineage: Eukaryota; Metazoa; Chordata; Mammalia; Rodentia; Muridae
Product: small nucleolar RNA SNORA70
Source: Ensembl
GUGCAGCUAAUUAAGCCGAUCAAGUCCCUUUCCCCAUGGGGACUUUGGUGUGCAAUGGUUGCAAACAGCAGCCUCCUUGGUAGCGUAUGUAGCCUAUUGUCUAUAUGGGUUACCUCAAGGGACCUUGGAAACAGUU